AUACGUAGGUGACAAGCGUUAUCCGGAUUUACUGGGCGUAAAGGGCGUGUAGGCGGUCUUGCAAGUCAGAAGUGAAAUUCCUGAGCUCAACUCGGGCGCUGCUUCUGAAACUGCAGGACUUGAGUGCUGGAGGGGAUAGCGGAAUUCCUAGUGGAGCGGUAAAAUGCGCAGAUAUUAGGAAGAACACCGGUGGCGAAGGCGGCUAUCUGGACAGUAACUGACGCUGAGGCGCGAAAGCGUGGGGAGCAAACAGGAUGAGAUACCCUGUUAGUCCACGCCGUAAACGAUGAAUACUAGGUGUAGGGGGUAUCGACUCCCUCUGUGCCGCAGUUAACACAAUAAGUAUUCCGCCUGGGGAGUACGGCCGCAAGGUUGAAACUCAAAUGAAUUGACGGGG
Molecule: ribosomal RNA, 397 nt
Filed under: uncultured bacterium
Lineage: Bacteria
Description: partial 16S ribosomal RNA
Rfam family: Bacterial small subunit ribosomal RNA
Source: RNAcentral